GAAGCGGUGUUGAGCAAUAAAUUAAAAAUGAAAGAAAAACACUUCAACUUGAGACGAUAUCGUGAGGACGGGGAGACAACUUUUUUAAAACCAGCCGUGGGCGAUGUUCAAUAUGUCCGCCAUUUUUAAUUUUUUUUACAAACAAAACCUUGUUUUCCUAACUUCAAACGCACAGUUUUUGAGACAAUCGCCUAACAAUUAACGAACCUCGAAUUUUUACCGUACAAAAAAGGGGGCAAAAACCAAGUUACCGACGGCUCCACUCAUAGAGGUUGUGCCAAUAUGCACGGUAUAUGGGCAGUUGGCGGAUCAUCUAGGGAGUGUUCUGUGAAAAUUUUAUCAAAAACAAACCCACAGAUUUGGAGAAAAUUGCUUUACAUUGCUUGCACGGUACCUCAUUGGAAAGGGCAUUUUUUAAACUACUUUAUGAAUUAGUUAAGGCAAAAUCAAGCCCACAGAUUUCGAACAAAUCAAGUGGUUACAAAGCUGUCGUCUUCUUGCACGGUCACACCGGCCACCCUUACUUCCCGAGAUAUUUCCCCUAUGGGGACAUACGUAGCUUCCAUACGAUUUCUAAAUAAUCAAUUGCAGCUCUCACGGAGGUUGUACCAACUGGCAUGGUACCUUAUUGGAAAGGGCCGUCUUUAAACUAAUUUCUGAAUUAAUUACAGCAAAAGUAAACCCACAGAUUUCGAGAAAAUCAAAUGAUUUCAAAGCUACCGUCUUCUUGCACGGUCACACCGGCCAGCAUUAUUUUCCAAGACAUUUGCCCUAUGGGAAAACACGUAGCUUCCAUACGAUUUCUAAAUAAAUAAUUACAACUCUCACAGAGGUUGUUCCAACUUGCACGGUACUUCAUUGGGAAGGGCAACUAAUUAAUGUAUAAAAUCAAACCCACAGGCAUUUUCCAUAAAAAAGUAAUUAUAUCGAUAUAUCGGCAAGGGCAGGUCACGACAAUAAAUUAAGCCAUCUGGCAACUCUUUAAUUUUGCGGAAAGCAUUCCCCGUUACUUUAGAAAAAAAAACACGAAGAGAAAAGAUAUAAAACUCAACUUUAAUAAAUUAAUCAAAAAAAUUUCAUGUCACAAGAGGCCAACUGUUUAGGCUUCUUGCAUCCAAGGUAUAUUUUAUUGCAGCGUGUCGAAUGAGAAUAUUUAAGAAGUGUAUUUAUUUAGUCAAAUUUACAAGCAUUUUUCGUAAUAAAAGUUGAUAUCACAAGUUUUUUUUGUUUAUGAAUGUGAUAUUUCUCCGGAAUCGCCUUCAAGGGGGUUGAAUUCUUACAUGCGUGCAUAAGUUCGUGUUCGAUUUUAUGUGGAAACUUUCCCACUUUUUCAAACGAGAUAAAAUCCC
This is a non-coding RNA of Drosophila suzukii, 1349 nucleotides long. The record is from RefSeq and is a predicted model, not a curated record. Lineage: Eukaryota; Metazoa; Arthropoda; Insecta; Diptera; Drosophilidae.